This 456-nucleotide ribosomal RNA is filed under the name uncultured bacterium. RNAcentral's name for it is "bacterial SSU rRNA". It matches the Rfam family "Bacterial small subunit ribosomal RNA", at positions 340 to 786 of the family's 1533-position model. The record is from RNAcentral.
UACGGGAGGCAGCAGUGGGGAAUAUUGCACAAUGGGCGAAAGCCUGAUGCAGCUAUGCCGCGUGUAUGAAGAAGGCCUUAGGGUUGUAAAGUACUUUCAUCGGGGAGGAAAAAACAAAACUAAUAAUUUUAUUUCUUGACGUUACCCGAAAAAGAAGCACCGGCUAACUCCGUGCCAGCAGCCGCGGUAAUACGGAGGGUGCUAGCGUUAAUCAGAAUUACUGGGCGUAAAGAGCACGUAGGCGGUUUUUUUAAAGUCAGAUGUGAAUCCCUGGGCUUAACCUAGGAACUGCAUUUUGAAACUGAAAUACUAGAGUAUCGUAGAGGGAGGUAGAAUUCUAGGUGUAGCGGUGAAAUGCGUAGAUAUCUGGAGGAAUACCUGUGGCGAAAGCGGCCUCCUAAACGAAUACUGACACUGAGGUGCGAAAGCGUGGGGAGCAAACAGGGAUUAGAUACC